RNAcentral lists this long non-coding RNA (4182 nucleotides) under Canis lupus familiaris (dog). Its description in RNAcentral is "lncRNA (ENSCAFG00000057410.1)". Lineage: Eukaryota; Metazoa; Chordata; Mammalia; Carnivora; Canidae. The record is from RNAcentral.
AGCAGAGCCGGCCCGUCUGCCCCCCCCCCCCCCCCCCCGGGGUGUCUCCGGGAUGCGGAGGGUCACUCCGGGCGGCCUGGGCCUGGGACUGGCAACGCGGGCCUCGCAAUCUGCACCUUAAAGCCCGGCCGGGGCGCCCGCGGGAUGGAGCUCGCGAGGCGCUGGUCCCCGCCACGCCCGACGCUGCAGAAAGCCCGACAGGCGAGGACAGCCUGGACCGAGGGCUGAGAUGGACCCAGGGGCGGAGGAGCUCCGGGGGAGCCGAAGCUAAAAACCGCUUCCAGGAAACUGAAACCUCUAGCGGAGGUUGUGCUGCUUCCUCUUCCUCGGCCUUUACCCCUGCCCUUUGCCCUAGGUCAUUUUCAUCCCUUCCAGUUUCCAGGGUUCAAGGAUUCCUAUCCCGGCAGCAGCUCCAGGGGUGCUGUGAUGCCAGGCUGGGCAGGAUCGGAUUGGCCCAUGUGACAUUUCUUCCCCCACUGCCCCCUCAAUGCCAGACACACUGUAGUUUAGACCCUUUCCAUGUGAGGGAGGGCCCCGGGGCCAUAGCCCUGGACCAAGAGGUCGGGAGGUCCUCAAGACUCCGCACAAAGGUCAAAAUAGGGAUGGGCCGGAAGAGAAAACGGAUGCAUCAUGUUCUGCUGAUUGCCAGGGAGGCUUCGCUCGUCUCCCUUGCUCCCAUGCAGCCGUUACCUGGAUUUCCCAGCUGCUGACCAGCAGCAAACCUGGGCCCAUCUUGCACAGUGGUGCAAGGAGAGCUUCGAAAGGAAGGGCUGACUGGCCCCUGCAUCCUGUCCAUUGUCGUAGGUGAAGUAUCAGUACAUCACGGCCACUUGUGUGUGUGUGUGUGUGUGUGUGUGCAUGUGCAUGUGCAUGUGCAUGUGGCCCGUCCAGGUAAGAACAACUUGUACACUUCAAAUGAUUGGGGCAAAUGUCAUGGGGCACUUGGGUGGCUCAGUCGGUUAGGCGUCUGACUCUUGAUUUUGGCUCGGGUCAUGAUCUCAGGGUCGCGAGAUGUGAGAUGGAGCCCUGUGCCCAUCUCUGCGUUAGGCGUGGAGCCUGCUUAAGACUCUCUCCCUUCCCCUCUGCCCCUCUACCCCUCGCCCUCUCUAAAAUAAAUAAAUAAAAAUGGUGGAAAAACAUCAAACGUGAUAUUUCAUGAUGUGAAAAUUACACGAAAUUUAAAUUUCAGGAUCUCUGAGUGAAGUAUGUACUGGAAUACCACCACAUUUUUAAAAAUUUGCACAUUGCUCUGUGGUUGCUUUUAGGGUACGAUGGCAGUGUUGAGUAGUUGCCCCAGAGAGCUGUGUGGCACCUGGUGGACACAGACGGCUGGUGUGACACGAUCCUAGCUCAGCAGCAUUCCGAGCGCCACAUGUAUGACUGCGCCUCCUCGCUGUAUUCCUUACCACCGGCGUAUACCCAUGACGUCAACACAAGGAGGGAGGAGAGGUGGUGGUGCUCUCGCCAUGCUUCUCAGGGCUGGUGGAGGGUGGAUUGUGUUGUUACCGAGUUGGGAGGCAACGUGCACUGAUGUAGUAGCUGUCACGGAGAACCAUGGAUGUUGGCAUCAUCCAUCUAAACACGCACCAGAAUGUUUCUAACAAGAACGCAAUGCGACGGCCAGAAAGAUUAGAAAAUUUAAAAUUGAGUAUCUCAUCCCGGAAUUUCUUCACACAAAUAAAGGAAAAUGAUGCUACAAGCAAAGCAUGUUUCUGAUGGGCUCAUUUGUUAGCAGAGCAGGGGAACCACUGACCUGUGGUAAGUUCAUGAAAUCACACGCGAUGCAGCGGUUGAAGAAACGUGCCCAGAGGAAGUCCGUUUGUUUAGGGCUGUUAGCCUCUCCCCGACAGCAGCUGCUCAAAGUGUUGAGCGUAUUAUGAACAACACCAAGUGUCCAUUAAAAAACCAAGCAAAAAAAAAUCAGCAAAAAAUUAAAUAAAUAAAUAAAUAAUAAAAUAAAAUAAAAAAACCCAAGCAAGUGAUUCUGAGUGGUUGUCCCUGACUCUUGUUGCAAGAGUUGUGACCUGUGUUACCGACAGAGCUCAGACAUGUGAUGAGCCUGUGCCAGGCUAGGAGUCACUGAAAAAUUCAGCUCUGUCAACAGUCUGUGUGCAAACAACUACAGGCAGGAAGGUUUUCAAAGUGGAGAAAAUGGAUUCAGUCCAACCUGAAGUGGAAUCUGCUAAGAUGUGUUCCAAUUGGUGGCAGAAAAAAUAUGUGUGGAAUUGAAAAGGCUUGACUAGGACAAACUCACAGAACCUGUGAUAAUACCAGGUGUUAGAACCUAUGCUUGCAAUAUGUUGACGUGUUGUUUCAAUCAACAGGCGUUUUUUGAAGAACAUUUGAAUUGCAUUACUGAACCAGUAUUGUCAACAGUAAACUUUGUUCACUCUUGGGGACUGAACUGUCAGCAGUUCCGUGAGUUUUUAUUUUUUUAUUUUUUAAAUAUUUAUUUAUUUAUUCACAAGAGACACAGAGAGACAGAGGGCCAGAGACACAGGCAGGGGGAGAAGCAGGCUCCAUGCAGGAAGCCCGAUGUGGGACUCGAUCCCCGGCCUCCAGGAUCACACCCUGGGCCAAAGGCAGGCUCUAAACCGCUGAACCACCCAGGGAUCCCCUCCAUGAGUUUUUAUUAGCGAUAGUCGCUGAAUAUCCUGCCAUGGUCUAUCACACAGCAGCUCAGUCGUGGUGAAGUUUUAUUGCAAUUUUUGAGCUUAGGACCGAGACUGAACUUUUUCUGAAUGAGAAGGACUGCUCUCAACUACAGUUAUGAAACUCCAAAGAGCCCUGGAAAUUAGCUUUGGCUGCAGUCUUGAUUUCUUCAUGAAUUCUGUCUAAAAUCACAAGGCAUAAUAAUGUUUAUACGUGGAAGUCAUACCAUGGUAUGACUAUAAACAUGAACUAAUGUUGGAAUCACAACUUUUUUUUUAAAAAAAUACUUUAUUUACUUAUUCAUGAGAGACACAGGCAGAGGGAGAUGCAGGCUCCCUGAGGGGAACCCGAUGCAGGACUCGAUCCCAGGACCCCGGGAUCACGACCUGAGCUGAAGGCAGACGCUCAGCCACUGAGCCACCCGGGCGUCCCCAUCCCCACAACUAACUUCAGACUGCAUCAUCACACUUCCUGUGUUGUCAUAAGUUAACACAAGAAGCGAGAGUUCCAUUCCCACCCGUGUGUGCAGCAGAUGUAGUAUCUGAGCUCAAACUGCAGUUCAGGCGGUGUUCUAUAGACCUAAAUGCAAACCCCAAAGAAAUCUCCAUAUUGCAAAAUCCAUCCAGCUUCGGUUGAGGGAGCUUCCAUCGAACCCUCAGUUGAAGCGAUUAAGCUGCCACAAGGCAAACCUCAAGAGAAAAGUCUAAUAGGACUCCAUAAAUGCCUUUCGAGUGGUAAGUACGCCCGUCUGACAAUCCUGUGCUUAGAGCCUGAUACCAGCCUUGUGAAGAAUCUGUCCAUGUGAAGACUUUUUCAAAGAUGAAAUCUGUAAAAUCUUAUUAUAGAUCAGCAUUAUCAGAAACGUGGGCAACUGAUUUUGAUGAUAGGCAACUCUAGCUUUGAACCUCAAUUCAGUGAGAUGUCCCCCCCCCCCCAAAUUAAAAUUAUCCUUGGCGCACCUGGGUGGCACAGUUGGUUGAGCAUCUGACUCUUUUUUUUUUUUUUUUAAGAUUUUAUUUAUUUAUUCAUGAGAGUCACAGAGAGAGAGAGAGAGAGAGAGAAGCAGAGCGAGAAGCAGGCUCCAUGCACCGGGAGCCCGACGUGGGAUUCGAUCCCGGGUCUCCAGGAUCAUGCCCUGGGCCAAAGGCAGGCACCAAACCACUGCGCCACCCAGGGAUCCCUAGCAUCUGACUCUUGAUUUCAGCUCAGGUCAUGAUCUCAGGGUCGUGAGAUUGAGCCCCGAGUCGGACUUUUGCUGGGCGGGGAGCCUGCUUAAGAUUCUCUCUCUCUCUCUCUCUCUCUCUCUCUCUGCUGCCUCACAACCCCACACUUGCUUUCUCUCUCUCAAAAAAGAGAAAAAGUAUUUUCAUUAGUAGACUUGAUGACUAUUAGGUCUACUAGUAGUAGUAGUACAAAAAAAAAUAGUACUCAAUUAUUAUUGUAUGUGAUUUUCACCAAAUUUUUUCUUUUAUAAUAUAAAUCUACAAUAUCCUAGAUUGUCGCCUCUUGGCCCAGAAAACCUAAAAUAUU